This 155-nucleotide ribosomal RNA is filed under the name Tremella caloplacae. RNAcentral's name for it is "5.8S ribosomal RNA". It matches the Rfam family "5.8S ribosomal RNA". From Rfam's summary of the family: 5.8S ribosomal RNA (5.8S rRNA) is a component of the large subunit of the eukaryotic ribosome. RNAcentral also lists the same sequence under 1 other name. The record is from RNAcentral. Lineage: Eukaryota; Fungi; Basidiomycota; Tremellomycetes; Tremellales; Tremellaceae.
AACUUUCAACAACGGAUCUCUUGGCUCUCGCAUCGAUGAAGGACGCAGCGAAAUGCGAUAAGUAAUGUGAAUUGCAGAAUUCAGUGAAUCAUCGAAUCUUUGAACGCACCUUGCACCUUUUGGUAUUCCGAAAGGUAUGCCUGUUUGAGUGUCAU